AUAUCUCCAAGUACAUUGCUGGCUGAUUUCACUUUCACAUAGUUAAAAUUACAACGCCACUUAAGAAAUUUGCAUUCAUUUAGUAUUUCAACAUCGUAUAUAUCGAUUUAAAGACAAACUUUAACCAAACCCUUCACCAUUUGUCUGUUUGCUUUCACAAUUUACUUAUAUAUGGCAUCGAUGAUAAUUUUGCUUUUUC
This 199-nucleotide long non-coding RNA is filed under the name Lathyrus oleraceus (garden pea). RNAcentral's name for it is "Pisum sativum (pea) long non-coding RNA (PSAT_LNC013995)". The record is from RNAcentral. Lineage: Eukaryota; Viridiplantae; Streptophyta; Magnoliopsida; Fabales; Fabaceae.